Molecule: ribosomal RNA, 468 nt
Filed under: uncultured bacterium
Lineage: Bacteria
Description: partial 16S ribosomal RNA
Rfam family: Bacterial small subunit ribosomal RNA
Source: RNAcentral
GAUGAACGCUGGCGGCGUGCUUAACACAUGCAAGUCGAACGGAAAGGCCGAAGCUUGCUUCGGUACUCGAUUGGCGAACGGGUGAGUAACACGUGUGUUAUCUGCCCUGUACUUCCGGAUAAGCUUUGGAAACUGAGUCUAAUACCGCAUAUGACGAUCUCUUGGAUGGGGUUGUGGAAAGCUUUUGCGGUAUGGGAUGAGAUCGCGGCCUAUCAGCUUGUUGGUGGGGUAAUGGCCUACCAAGGCGUCGACGUGUAUCCGUCCUGAUAGAGCGUACGGCCGCUUUUGAACCGAGAUACGGCCCAUAGUGCUACGCGAGGCAGAAGCGGGGAAUAUUGCAUGGCGUCCAUAAGCCUGAGGCAGCGAGGACGCGGGGUGGAUGAGGGCUUUUGGCUUGUAAAAUCCAGUGCCUAUAGACGAAUCAUUGUGGUGACGGUAGUUACAGAAAAAGCACCGGCUAACUACGUG